CCUUGUUUGACUCUUUUCUACCCUGCACAGAACUGAUGUGUGUUGUCCUUGGAUCAUUUCAGUGAGUGCCGCCUUCCAAAAACCACACUAUGGUAGAGUUGCACCAAUGUCUGCGUUCCCCUUGCGCAACAGACAGACUACAUAGUGUGCAUGUGUGUGAGAGAGAGAGAAAGUCCAUUCCUUUCUGUUUCGUCACCCUCUCCUCGUGUGUCACUGAAUAUUCUGCUGGCAGGGGCCUGAUGGUGAAAGAAUUUAAUGGGAUGUUGACGUUGUUUCAUACGACCAGAGAGGCAGUAAGUUAUAUAAAACGGACACUAAUUGCACUGUAAUUACGCAUACCACUCUAGGCUUGUGGGCUUGGAAGCUUGUAGAGGAUGGAGUCAGACGUCCCCCUUUCUUCAGUUUGUUUUUAUCUUUUAUUUUUUCUUCUACAACUUUUUUCUUUACUCUUUCUCUAUCUGGCUGUGUUUGAUGAUUCCAGAAGGCUCUCCUGGUCUCCAAGGAGAGAUCAGGCUUUUAUGGGCCGGCGGCGAUGGCCUCGGUCAGGCACCCACCAUCUGCACAGUCACAGGACUUUUAGCAUCACUUACUCUGUUUGUUCAGUCAAUCAUAAGCAUGGUAAAGGGUAAUGAGCCGGUGGUUCUGUGCGUUCUGUCCACAAAGGGGUCACAGACAGGGACAGGUGGAGGAUCUGGUGCCAGGCAGCCGUAUCUCACCGGCCCGCAUCAAACCAGCCUGAUGCACAGACUGGAGAUAACUGGUAAUGGUGAUGUGAUGUUUUGAGUGUGUGAGUCAUUCCUGGGGGAACAGGUACGGCAUCAAGCUGGUAAGGUAAACAUAUGUGAAAUGGAUGAAAUGACUCGUGAUUAGAUCUAUGUGAUUAGUUUGUUGACUCAAGUAGACUGUUUCUGAUGGAGAAAAUGAAGAUGCUGAUCAUUAGUAUUAUGCUGCUGUAACAUUACAAAACACAGACUUAUAUGUCCACUUGAUAUAUGCUGACUGACACAUGAUUGCUGGUGUAACUCCUUUACAUCACCUCCAC
Molecule: long non-coding RNA, 1042 nt
Organism: Clupea harengus (Atlantic herring)
Lineage: Eukaryota; Metazoa; Chordata; Actinopteri; Clupeiformes; Clupeidae
Source: Ensembl